GACGAACGCUGGCGGCGUGCUUAACACAUGCAAGUCGAACGGACAGACCCUGCUUUUGUGGGGUUCUCGUUUGGCGACCGGGUGAGUAACACGUGAGUAUCCUGCCCUUGACUUUGGGAUAACUUCUGGAAACUGGGGCUCUUACCCGAUAGGAUCUCCUGCUGCAUGGUGGGGCUUGGUAAGUUUCGGCGGUUGGGGAUGGACUCGCGGCUUAUCAGCUUGUUGGUGGGGUAGUGGCUUACCAAGGCUUUGACGGGUAGCCGGCCUGAGAGGGUGACCGGCCACAUUGGGACUGAGAUACGGCCCAGACGCCUACGGGAGGCAGCAGGGGGGAAUAUUGCACAAUGGGCGGAGGCCUGAUGCAGCAACGCCGCGUGCGGGAUGACGGCCUUCGGGUUGUAAACCGCUUUCGCCUGUGACGAAGCGUGAGUGACGGUAAUGGGUAAAGAAGCACCGGCUAACUACGUG
RNAcentral lists this ribosomal RNA (468 nucleotides) under uncultured bacterium. RNAcentral's name for it is "partial 16S ribosomal RNA". It matches the Rfam family "Bacterial small subunit ribosomal RNA", at positions 28 to 507 of the family's 1533-position model. The record is from RNAcentral.